Long non-coding RNA from Pogoniulus pusillus (Red-fronted tinkerbird), 322 nucleotides. RefSeq lists it as uncharacterized. The record is from RefSeq and is a predicted model, not a curated record. NCBI's taxonomy places the organism in Eukaryota, Metazoa, Chordata, Aves, Piciformes, Lybiidae. The transcript is spliced from 3 exons.
UCUGCGCUGAGCUGCCCGGGGCUGCGAACGCUGCGGCACGGGGAGCCGCGGCCCUGCGGGAGCUGCGCUCAGCGCCGCCGGGCACCUCCGGCUGCUCUGUUCCCGUUUACCGGCGGUUGCGUGUGCGCUCGGAGGAGUAGCAGCGAGUUGGCUUCGAGCUGAGUUAACAUUCAGAAGGGAGCAGCUGGGAAAAGCUACCUUCUCCAAGCUUGCCUGUCAAACGCUGUUGCUGUAGCCCAGAGCUAACACAUGAUUAGCUUCAUGUGACGGAGCCCACUUAAUAUGCAGUGGAGAAAGAGAACUACAAAGAAUAGAAGAUAAG